Molecule: long non-coding RNA, 434 nt
Filed under: Brassica napus (rape)
Lineage: Eukaryota; Viridiplantae; Streptophyta; Magnoliopsida; Brassicales; Brassicaceae
Description: long non-coding RNA (BNAP_LNC019816)
Source: RNAcentral
UAUUGUAGAUUAGGUUUUGUGAUUUUGAAAUUAGUAUAACAAGAAUAUUUUUGGAUAGAUGAGUAUUCUUUAAGAAUUUUUCAUCGAUAUGUUGUAUUUUAAAAUAAUUUUCUUAAAAACUGCUAUUUUUGGAAAGUUUUCAUUUUUUUAGAGAAAUAUUGUAGAUUAGGUUUUGUGAUUUUGAAAUUAGUAUAACAGGAAUAUUUUUGGAUAGAUGAGUAUUCUUUAAGAAUUUUUCAUCGAUAUGUUGUAUUUUAAAAUAAUUUUCUUAAAAACUGCUAUUUUUGGAAAGUUUUCAAUUUUUAUAGAGAAAUAUUGUAGAUUAGGGUUUGUGAUUUAGAAAUCAGGAUAACAAGAAUAUUUUUGGAUAGAUAAGUAUUCUUUAAGAAUUUUUCAUGAAUAUGUUAUAUUUAUAAAUAAUUUUCUUAAAAACU